RNAcentral lists this ribosomal RNA (253 nucleotides) under uncultured bacterium. RNAcentral's name for it is "partial 16S ribosomal RNA". It matches the Rfam family "Bacterial small subunit ribosomal RNA", at positions 524 to 776 of the family's 1533-position model. The record is from RNAcentral.
UACGUAGGGUGCAAGCGUUGUCCGGAAUUAUUGGGCGGAAAGAGCUCGUAGGCGGUUUGUCGCGUCGAAUGUGAAAACCCGGGGCUCAACCCCGGGCCUGCAUUCGAUACGGGCAGACUAGAGUUCGGUAGGGGAGUCUGGAAUUCCUGGUGUAGCGGUGAAAUGCGCAGAUAUCAGGAGGAACACCGGUGGCGAAGACGGGACUCUGGGCCGAUACUGACGCUGAGACGCGAAAGCGUGGGGAGCAAACAGG